AUUGAACGCUGGCGGCAUGCUUUACACAUGCAAGUCGAACGGUAACAGGUUAAGCUGACGAGUGGCGAACGGGUGAGUAAUGCAUCGGAACGUGCCCGGUCGUGGGGGAUAACGCAGCGAAAGCUGCGCUAAUACCGCAUACGAUCUGAGGAUGAAAGCGGGGGACCGUAAGGCCUCGCGCGAUCGGAGCGGCCGAUGUCAGAUUAGGUAGUUGGGGGGGUAAAGGCUCACCAAGCCAACGAUCUGUAGCUGGUCUGAGAGGACGACCAGCCACACUGGGACUGGGACACGGCCAAGGCUCCGACGGGAGGCAGCAGUGGGGAAUUUUGGACAAUGGGCGAAAGCCUGAUGCAGCAAUGCCGCGUGCAGGAAGAAGGCCUUCGGGUUGUAAACUGCUUUUGUACGGAGCGAAAAGGUCUCCUCUAAUACAGGGGGCUCAUGACGGUACCGUAAGAAUAAGCACCGGCUAACUACGUGCCAGCAGCCGCCGUAA
This 493-nucleotide ribosomal RNA is filed under the name uncultured bacterium. RNAcentral describes it as "partial 16S ribosomal RNA". It matches the Rfam family "Bacterial small subunit ribosomal RNA", at positions 29 to 523 of the family's 1533-position model. The record is from RNAcentral.